CCUACGUGUGGCAGCAGUGGGGAAUAUUGCGCAAUGGGCGAAAGCCUGACGCAGCGACGCCGCGUGAGGGAUGAAGGUCUUCGGGUCGUAAACCUCUUUCCGCAGGGAAGACCGGUCUCUGUGCUAAUCCGCCGUGAAUUGACGUUACCUGCAAAGGAAGCACCGGCUAACUCCGUGCCAGCAGCCGCGGUAAUACUGAGGGUGCGAGCGUUAAUCGGAAUUACUGGGCGUAAAGCGCUCGUAGGCGGUAUGUCAAGUCAAGUGUGAAAUCCCCGCGCUCAACGUGGGAACUGCCUUUGAAAGUGGCAAACUGGAGUGUGUGAGAGGAGAGUGGAAUUCCAGGUGUAGGAGUGAAAUCCGUAGAUAUCUGGAGGAACAUCAGUGGCGAAGGCGACUAUCUGGCACAUAACUGACGCUGAGGAGCGAAAGCGUGGGUAGCAAACAGGAUUAGAUACCCGAGUAGUC
This 465-nucleotide ribosomal RNA is filed under the name uncultured bacterium. RNAcentral describes it as "partial 16S ribosomal RNA". It matches the Rfam family "Bacterial small subunit ribosomal RNA", at positions 338 to 795 of the family's 1533-position model. The record is from RNAcentral.